GCGGUAAUCAUCCUCACUGAUGUUAUAUUUCCCCUGAAGACGCCUCUCCUCCGCCUCCAGCUGCUCCUUCUCCCGCAUCUCAAAGUCGGACUCCAGGGCGUCAAAGACGGCGGCCCCCACCAGCAGGCUCCACGCACACCGGACUCCAUGCAGGACUCCGUGGAGCUCCGGCAUGAGUUUACCUGCUCCUGGAAACCCACGAUGACCACUCCUCCUGCUCACCUCAUGGACCGCCAACAGCUGGAGGCUCUCUAUGGAGCGCUGUAGAGAAGAGACUCAGGGAAGCUUUAUCCUGAUUUAAAAAUAUAGAUUCAACGAUUAAAUCUAAGAGGUGAAUCGUUUUUUAUGAAUAAUUUAGGGCAGAUGGUCAGAGAUCCUCCUCAUGUUCAGAAUGCAUCUGUAGACAGACCUGAAAACUGCAGCUGGGAAGCGACGCCUUCAAACCUGAACAACCCGGAACUAUUCACAGAAGAAGACUGGACCGUAACUCCAGUAAAGAGAUGUUUGAGAUGUCUUCAUUAUGACAGGAAGCAGGAGUUUCUCUGUCUGAAGCUUGAUGGUCCAGUGGAAGAGUGUCCGCCCUGAGAUUGGGUAGGUUCUGGUAGUCAGGUCAUCCUAAAGACUUGAUGCCAAACGGCUUGAUGCUCAGCAUUGAGUGGUUGCAUUAGGGGCGUUGAAUGGUCCCUCCCUGUUGUAUAUACUGUAUCUUUAUCCCCCUUUUUUUUUUUUACGGAUGCAUAUAUAUAUAUAUAUAUAUAUGUAUAUAUUUAUCUUUUUAUCUUAUAUUCUUUUUAUCUUUUUUGCAUAGGAGCACAGGUCACUGGAACCAAAUUCAUUGUAUAUAUCCUGUACUUGGCCAAUAAAGAUGAUUCUGAUUUUCAUGCGACAGUAGUGUCUGCAGCCCCCCACUACCCACAGGAGGUCAAACGCAGAGAACAAAUUUGGCAAAACCAAAUGUGUGACAACUGAUGGGGCUUUAACUUCCACGGUGAACUGUUUUCUGACAGAACUGAAACAGUUUGCUACGCUGAAGUCUCUACACAGCAGAGCAGUCACUGUUCCGUUAGGGGCCACAGACAUGACCUUUUUCCCUCCCUCCACAUUUUCGCAUAUCAGAAUAUUCUUCAUACAAACAGUAGUUUGUGUACAUUUAUCUCUGGAAGAGCCUCACUGCUGAUGCUGUAAGUAAAUUCUAAUGGAGCUCAUCUUCUGGAAAUAAAUAGCAGAUAGAAACAGUCACAU
This is a long non-coding RNA of Oryzias melastigma (Indian medaka), 1242 nucleotides long. RefSeq lists it as uncharacterized. The transcript has 3 exons. The record is from RefSeq and is a predicted model, not a curated record. NCBI's taxonomy places the organism in Eukaryota, Metazoa, Chordata, Actinopteri, Beloniformes, Adrianichthyidae.